Molecule: long non-coding RNA, 117 nt
Organism: Sapajus apella (tufted capuchin)
Lineage: Eukaryota; Metazoa; Chordata; Mammalia; Primates; Cebidae
Exons: 3
Source: RefSeq, a predicted model, not a curated record
UCAGUAAAAAAUGCAUUUUAUACAAAGCCUAUUUUAUAAUAAGGUAUUGAAUAUAUCAUGUAAUUUACUGAAUAUUGUAUUGAAAGUGAAAAUCAGAAUGGUUGCAUGGGUACUUAA